GGGGAUCUGUCUCAGUGGUAGGGAGUUUGCCUAGUAAGCACAAGGCCAAGGCUUUGAAUUUGACCCCCA
Molecule: transfer RNA, 69 nt
Filed under: Cricetulus griseus (Chinese hamster)
Lineage: Eukaryota; Metazoa; Chordata; Mammalia; Rodentia; Cricetidae
Rfam family: tRNA
About the family: Transfer RNA (tRNA) molecules are approximately 80 nucleotides in length. Their secondary structure includes four short double-helical elements and three loops (D, anti-codon, and T loops).
Source: Rfam by way of RNAcentral